Non-coding RNA from Hydra vulgaris (swiftwater hydra), 470 nucleotides. NCBI's taxonomy places the organism in Eukaryota, Metazoa, Cnidaria, Hydrozoa, Anthoathecata, Hydridae. The record is from RefSeq and is a predicted model, not a curated record.
UCAAAUACAUGUGUUGUUUGAGUUGAGGCGUCAAUCAGAGGAACAUAUUUGCGAAGAACAUAUCCAGGAGGAAGUUGGUGUGCAGAAAUGCCAGGCGUAACGCAAGGCGAUGGACUAGAUUGAGCGUUUACAUUUUUUGAUUGCAACAAACGAUUUAUCACAGGAUAUGAAUAUUAACAUAAGUUACGUGUUUUACUUCAAUGUUUUCAUGUGGCAGAUUUUACAAAUGUACCAGAUUCUAAAAAUGUUGCAAAUCAUCUUCACAACAAAUAUUUGAUUCUGCAAAUCUAUAGAAUACAAUAAAAUGUUGCAAAGCGAUUUUUAAUGAACUUUACGCAAAGUCUGGUCUUCAGUGUCAGUUAAUUGCUCAGUUAAUUGUUUUUCUGCAAGUCUUCGCAUCCUUAUAAUUUGAUAAGUUUGUAAAUUAUAUUAUACUACGAAAAUUGAUUUUGUAAUAUAAAACUUUUUUU